CCUACGGGAGGCAGCAGUGGGGAAUAUUGCACAAUGGGGGGAACCUUGAUGCAGCAACGCCGCGUGGGUGAAGAAGUACUCCGGUAUGUAAAGCCCUGUCAGCAGGGAAGAAAAUGACGGUACCUGACCAAGAAGCCCCGGCUAACUACGUGCCAGCAGCCGCGGUAAUACGUAGGGGGCAAGCGUUAUCCGGAUUUACUGGGGGUAAAGGGAGCGUAGACGGCAAGGCAAGUCUGGAGUGAAAGCCAGUGGCCCAACCACGGGACUGCCUUGGAAACUGUGUGGCUGGAGUGCAGGAGGGGUAAGCGGAAUUCCUAGUGUAGCGGUGAAAUGCGUAGAGAUUAGGAGGAACACCGGUGGCGAAGGCGGCUUACUGGACUGUAACUGACGUUGAGGCUCGAAGGCGUGGGGAGCAAACAGGAUUAGAUACCCCAGUAGUC
Molecule: ribosomal RNA, 440 nt
Filed under: uncultured bacterium
Lineage: Bacteria
Description: partial 16S ribosomal RNA
Rfam family: Bacterial small subunit ribosomal RNA
Source: RNAcentral